UUGCAAAGCACAACUCAUACAAAUCUUCUUUUCCGACUAAACCUGAUCAUCACACUUCUGGGCUUGGCUCAUGGACUCAUAUUCCUCCCUGUGCUGCUCAGCUACUUUGGUCCGAGUGUGAAUAAAGCUGUGUUGCUGCAGCAGCAGCAGGCCAAAGCAAAGGCGAGCAGGAGCUGGAGAUGAGAAACACAAUUAAACACAUUUAUGAUAACAUGAGUUAUGAAGACAAUGAAAUAAAACAGGAGGCAGAUGCAAAGGCUCCUAAAGACGUGGACAAUACUUCACAGAUUGAAGCAAACCAUCAGGCAAAGAAGGUGAAAAGUGA
Molecule: non-coding RNA, 325 nt
Organism: Labrus bergylta (ballan wrasse)
Lineage: Eukaryota; Metazoa; Chordata; Actinopteri; Labriformes; Labridae
Source: RefSeq, a predicted model, not a curated record